GGGGGGGUUUUCGGAUUAUUGGGCGUAAGCGCGCGUAGGCGGCCGCGCAAGUCGGUUGUGAAAUCCCGGGGCUCAACCCCGGGACUGCAUCCGAUACUGCACGGCUCGAGGCAGGUAGGGGAGAGUGGAAUUCCCGGUGUAGCGGUGAAAUGCGCAGAUAUCGGGAGGAACACCGGUGGCGAAGGCGGCUCUCUGGACCUGUCCUGACGCUCAGGCGCGAAAGCUAGGGGAGCGAACAGGAUUAGAUACCCUGGUAGUCCUAGCCGUAAACGUUGGGCGCUAGGUGUGGGGGGACAUCGACCCCCUCUGUGCCGAAGCUAACGCAUUAGGCGCCCCGCCUGGGGAGUACGGCCGCAAGGCUAAAACUCAAAGGAAUUGACGGGGGCCCGCACAAGCGGCGGAGCAUGUGGCUUAAUUCGAUGCAACGCGAAGAACCUUACCUGGGCUUGACAUGCGGGGUGAAGCCGGUGAAAGCCGGUCCUCUACGGAGCCCGCACAGGUGGUGCAUGGCUGUCGUCAGCUCGUGCCGUGAGAUGUUGGGUUAAGUCCCGCAACGAGCGCAACCCUUACCCUCAGUUGCUACCGGGUCAUGCCGGGCACUCAGAGGGAACUGCCUCGGAUAACGGGGAGGAAGGUGGGGAUGACGUCAAGUCAUCAUGGCCUUUAUGUCCAGGGCUACACACGUGCAACAAUGGCCGGUACAAAGGGUCGCAAUCCCGCGAGGGGGAGCCAAUCCCAGAAAACCGGUCCCAGUUCGGAUCGGAGUCUGCAACUCGACUCCGUGAAGUCGGAAUCGCUAGUAAUCGCGGAUCAGAACGCCGCGGUGAAUACGUUCCCGGGCCUUGUACACACCGCCCGUCACACCACGAAAGCCUAUUGUACCUGAAGUCGCUGCGCCAACCCGCAAGGGAGGCAAGCGCCCACGGUAUGAUCGGUGAUUGGGGUGAAGUCGUAACAAGGUAAC
This 964-nucleotide ribosomal RNA is filed under the name uncultured bacterium. RNAcentral describes it as "bacterial SSU rRNA". It matches the Rfam family "Bacterial small subunit ribosomal RNA", at positions 535 to 1500 of the family's 1533-position model. The record is from RNAcentral.